RNAcentral lists this long non-coding RNA (2485 nucleotides) under Homo sapiens (human). Its description in RNAcentral is "long intergenic non-protein coding RNA 1094". Lineage: Eukaryota; Metazoa; Chordata; Mammalia; Primates; Hominidae. The record is from RNAcentral.
GGGCUAUUAACACAGGUUUGAGUCAGGCUGACCGGAGCUGUAAAGCCCUUCUCGUUCUCACUGUGUGUUCUUUUCAGUUCUGUCUUCCUGAGGCUGCUGUUUCUGGGCAUGGCCAGGGGAUCUUCAGACUUUACAAACCAGUUGUGCAGAGCCAGGCAUUUCAAUAAGGAACAAAAUGCUGAGUAACAACAUGAAGUCAGAGUGUUGCUUGCCAAGAGCUGGGAGGCCUGGGUGGUUUCCCAAUCUUAAAGAAGCAGAAGGAUAUUAAAGUGAGCCUCCCAAAGGAAAACGUGGAUCUACUUACCAACGCAGAAAAUGAUACACACGGAUUCGAUUUAGGCACGCUACAUUCAAAUGACUUGGAAGAGCAGGUUCUCUGAGCCAGGAUACUAAAGUCCCUGUUUAGGAAAGAGCCACGUUGUAUGUUUACCCUACCACAAAGAUACAGUGCUGGCAGAGGAAACAGCAGCAAUGAUGCUCUGCGAGCCUGACUCAGGGCCAGCAGUGAUGGCAGCCCAAGAAUUCUGGAGGAAAGUGGCUCUGGGAAUUGAACAGUGGCUCAGUGAUGUUGGGGCCACCAAGUCUGCAAUUCUCCCUACCUGUUCUUCAUGGUUGUAAGAUGACUGCUGCAAUUCUCGGCAUCAUGUGCAUGUUAAUGUCAGGAGGAAGAAAGGAAGAGGGAGCACUGGGAUGUUACAUUCAUUUUGUCAGGAAAAGCAAAGCCUUUCCAGACAGCUCCGAAACUUGCUUACCUCUCAUUGGCCAGCACCAUCACUUGACCACUUGUCCACUCCUAGCUGCAAGGAAAGUGGCAAAGUAGAAGGUAUUUGAGAAUGUCUGCUGGGUUAGCCAAAACAAUAGUGACUUCUACACCCAAUUUUCUGGGCACUGCAGAAGUAUCCUUGAGUCCUAUGUGAUCAGAGGGAGAGCAAACCUCAAUAAUGAAACAGAUUCAAUUUCCAUCACCCAGUGAGACACCAUGGGAUUAGAAUAAAUUUUUAAAAAAACAAAUUGAAAAAAAUGCAUUUUUAAAACAACAAAAUCAGAAAGGAUGAAAGGUGAUAUUUCUAGCAUAUCAGUUUGUGGUGGUAAAUUAAUUACCUUAUACAAAGGCCUCAGUGACUUUCUUCUCCUUACCUAACGAAUCAUCUUUAAAAUAAGUAAAAUAAAGAAACAAGAGCAGCAGCAGAUGCUUCCUAAAAAGAAGUUACCAAAUCUGUUCACCACAAACCUGAGAAUUCAACUGUGGACAUUUGGACACCAGCAAUGAACAUGAAACUCAGCUUAUGAGGCAUAUUUGGCUAAAGGUCAAGGUGACUUAAAGUUCAUCAUAGGACAUCUACAAUUUGCAAAGCAGGUGACUGGAUAUGGACUCCUUCCAAGUCUCAUUUAAUUGGAUAAUGCCUACGUUUUAAGUAUCAGAAGUGAGUCUUUCUCUAUUAAAUGAAGUCAGUUCCACUAAAACCUAAAUCUUGUUUGGCAGGCACUCCAUGUUUCUUAAUUUUUAUUCCAUGCUGUAUAUUCUUUUAGACUUGAUUUUCACUUUUUUUUCUUUUUUCCUGUACAUUUAUCUUUGCUGUGAAACAAAGUGCCCUGCUUUGAAGGACAGGUUUGUGGGCUGCUGGUGGUGAGACAACAGCAGUCCUUCCAAGUCUUCCUCCCAUCACUCUGUUAGCUCUCCCUUUGUUUUUAAUUAGCAUUACACCAGUUAAUUCUGUUAUCUCUUAACCCUGGUUCUGCAUCCUCUUCUUCUUUUCUAUUCCUUACUCCGCUCCUGUUUUUUCUUGUUCUGCUUUUCCAAGAAAUGUCUUGUCUCCUCAUCAGUUGACUGUCUUCUCUUUCCAGAGGGACCAUAAAGGUGCCAGCCUAAGGAACACGUAAAACGUGGGAACAGACAAACAAGCUGCUGCCUAUUACAGAGAUAGAUAAUUAACUUUGGACCAUUACAUGCAAUUCAUCAGCUUAUCUUUUUCAAACUUUAUAUAAGAAGUCAUUUCCCAAUGGUAACCACUUGCCAGCUGCAACUUUGACGCAUAUUAUCAGGAUAGGUGAGAUUGAUGGGGGCCCUUUGAACUCUUCCCAGGGAAUUAUCUUUAUAAUGUUACAGUUUUCUCUAUAGCAUGGUCAUAUUGUUAACAUUGGUUAUAAGGUCAUAUGGUUAGUAUGGUUAGUAUUGGUGGCUCACAGCUGUAAUACCAGCACUUUGGGAGGCCAAGGUGGGAGGAUCACUUGAGCCCUGGUGUUCAAAACCAGCUCUGGAAACAUAGCAAGACCUUGUCUCUACAAAAAAAAAUUAAAUAAAUUAAAAGAUUAGCUGGGCAUGGUGGCACAUGCCUGUAGUCCUCACUACUUGGGAAACUAAGGUGGGAGGAUCCUUUGAGCUUGGGAGGUUGAGGCUGCAGUGAGCUGUGGUUGUGCCAUGGCACUCCAGCCUGGGUGACAGAGUGAGAGCCUGUCUCAAAAAAAAAAAAAAAAAAAAAAAAAA